Molecule: ribosomal RNA, 429 nt
Filed under: Bacteroidota bacterium
Lineage: Bacteria; Pseudomonadati; Bacteroidota
Description: Bacteroidetes bacterium partial 16S ribosomal RNA
Rfam family: Bacterial small subunit ribosomal RNA
Source: RNAcentral
UAGGGAAUCUUCCGCAAUGGACGCAAGUCUGACGGAGCAACGCCGCGUGAGUGAAGAAGGAUUUCGGUUCGUAAAACUCUGUUGUUAGAGAAGAACAGCGCAUAGAGUAACUGUUAUGCGUGUGACGGUAUCUAACCAGAAAGCCACGGCUAACUACGUGCCAGCAGCCGCGGUAAUACGUAGGUGGCAAGCGUUGUCCGGAUUUAUUGGGCGUAAAGCGAGCGCAGGCGGUCAAUUAAGUCUGAUGUGAAAGCCCCCGGCUCAACCGGGGAGGGUCAUUGGAAACUGGUUUACUUGAGUGCAGAAGAGGGGAGUGGAAUUCCAUGUGUAGCGGUGAAAUGCGUAGAUAUAUGGAGGAACACCAGUGGCGAAGGCGACUCUCUGGUCUGUAACUGACGCUGAGGCUCGAAAGCGUGGGUAGCAAACAGG